AUCGAGAAAUAAUAUCAGCAGAGUGUAAAUUGUCCUUACACUGUAUUCGUAAACUUUGAGAAAUUAAUAUGAUUUAAUUAAUUCGUUCGAGCUGAGUCUGCGUGUUGUGCAUAUAAACAGGAGUGAGAGUUUUGUCUACGUUAGCUUCAUAUUUGGGUUCCAUGACGGCAUGUUAUCAUUUGUCACUGGACUAAGUAAGUAAUUAAAAUAACAAAGAAUACUGAACUCGAACCAUAGAACAUAAAUGCGCCGUGAGGGCCCAUAGAAGCAAACAAAAGAGGGCAAAGUUCAGCAAUUAAGGACGGGGACAGAGACACUGGACCACAGCUAACAGAUACCAUAUAUAACGAAAGCAAUGUCAAAAAUAUAUAGUUAUUCUCAUACAUCAACUGUAACUUAACUAAAUACAGAUAAAGCGAUAAUAAAAACAAAAAGAAUAUACCUAUAAUCGAUAAAUAUAAAAACAAGGUUUUUCUUUUAAAAAACUUGACAAUUACACUGGUAGAAUACAUGCUGAAAACUGUAAAUGCAUCCAUUACUAACAUUCCAAUGUAUGAAGUUGAUUCACUAUUUGUUAUAGUCUUUAUAAUCUGUAAUGCGUAAACAUUGCAUGCUAUCUUACCAGAAAACUGAUGUAAACAAAGCAGUAAUAUUACAUAUCCAAAUGCCUUGUAUAAUGCCUUUGAAUAACAGGCUUUUAUCAUUUGCAUUACUGCAUGUUUUCGAUUUUGGGUUUUGGACUGUACAAAAUUGUCAUGCAAUGCAAUAAGAGAUUCAAGUUCCCGUACUGAUUCAGUACUUCGGCCCUUUAGCCAAUUAUGUGAGUCCCUGCAAACUGUAUAUUUCUGUUUACUUGCCAACCAGUAUGGAGAUUCAGGCCAUAAUAAUCCAGAUAAGAAAGCGUAAACUGCUAAAGCACACCCCAAUAGUGAAAUGGAUUUCCAAUCAAAGAAGGUGCCCAUUAAAUUAGCAAUAAGCAUCCCCCACGCAAACGACGCGGACUUUAUAACAAGGAACGAUCCACGAUACCGAGGUGAUAUGUAUUCCGUUAACACCCUUAGACACACAACGCCAUCACUUGCUAUCAAAGCACCAAGAACCAUUUCACCGGCAAGUACACCAAUAACAGACGUACUAAAGUACAUGAUAAGAAAUCCCAAAGCUGAAGUUAUACAUAUAGUUAAAAAUGCUUUGGUCGGUCCAUAGUACGCUGAUACAGCAACGACGACGAAUAGAUUGGGAACAGAACUGUACAUCGGUGUUGAACCUAAAAAAUAUUGAAAUUGUAACUUAAAUAACUCGUUUGCGUACUUUUUUAUAAUUAAGAUAUCAUGAAGGUUAUUGGGUAUAAAAUAAGAAAUUUAACAAUACUAGUAUUUUAUACACCUCUACAUAAUUCAGUCUGUCGGUUACUUAUUUAUAACAACGUCGUCAGACCAGCGUCAGUAUUCUGUAAUUCCCAAUAGCAAUUGAGAUGUCGACGUAGUUUUAGUAUCCGAGCUCUAAUUGAUAUCGUAUGAUCGUGUAUUACAAAAGAUCAACAUCGAAUUCGGGAUGAAUCACUACCGUCAUUAAAGGUUACAGAAUACCGAAGAAGAUCAAGCCUAAAACCGGAUUUCAUAUUCCCGACCAUGUUUGAAUAUUAUGUAGGUCGUGUUCUAAGGAACUCUAUUUUAUUCAACGGUUUAUUUACAUUUCGUAACGUGUUUGCAUUCCAAUAAAUUACAAGGUAUGUAUGGUAUAUCUUUACGUACUUAGCCAUGAAGACAUCUCUUCUGUUAUGACGUCGGUGGAGUUGGCGUCUCUUCUAAUUUGGGAGAUGUAAAUAGUUGGUGUUCCCAUACAAAGACCGAACAUGAAGAAGUGAGCCCAAACUCCACUUGAUACUAAUACCUAAAAAAAUCAAUCGAUGAAGGACUAAAAAAAGUUGCGUCGCGAUAUUUGUUCGCAUAAUUUUACAAUAGUUUUUGCUACUAGUAGAAUUUUAUCCAAAGUUAUUAUUACUUAAAUAUGGAAUACGGGCGUUAUGAACCCUGUUUAUUUUUAAAAAAAGAAUAUAAAGUUUUCGUAUACUAAGCUAUAUUAAUGCCUAAUUAAAAGAAUCAUCAACUCAAAUCACAACUGUCCCAGGAUGUAGCAGGUGUUCACAUAAUGCAUUUAGAACAAAGACAAUCAUUAUUACUGCCAAAAUAAGUCAGAAUGUUUUUUCACUUAUAACAAAAUUACUUGUUUAUCAUAAAUUGUUAGAGUAAUAUUCAAAUUAAAUUCGGAUAGUCCAUAGUGUACACACUUUAAAACUUUUAAAGUAAGCAUCAAUAUCCUGCAUACUCUCUGCGUAUAUUAGGUUGGGAAAAACUCUUUUCGCAUUAUAGUAUGUAUGAACUUGUAAUAAAAUCUCUUUGG
Long non-coding RNA from Pieris brassicae (large cabbage white), 2403 nucleotides. RefSeq lists it as uncharacterized. The transcript has 4 exons. The record is from RefSeq and is a predicted model, not a curated record. Lineage: Eukaryota; Metazoa; Arthropoda; Insecta; Lepidoptera; Pieridae.